UAGGGAAUCUUCCGCAAUGGACGCAAGUCUGACGGAGCAACGCCGCGUGAGUGAAGAAGGAUUUCGGUUCGUAAAACUCUGUUGUUAGAGAAGAACAGCGCAUAGAGUAACUGUUAUGCGUGUGACGGUAUCUAACCAGAAAGCCACGGCUAACUACGUGCCAGCAGCCGCGGUAAUACGUAGGUGGCAAGCGUUGUCCGGAUUUAUUGGGCGUAAAGCGAGCGCAGGCGGUCAAUUAAGUCUGAUGUGAAAGCCCCCGGCUCAACCGGGGGAGGUCAUUGGAAACUGGUUGGCUUGAAUGCAAGAGGGGAGAGUGGAAUUCCGUGUGUAGCGGUGAAAUGCGUAGAUAUAUGGAGGAACACCAGUGGCGAAGGCGACUCUCUGGUAUGUAACUGACGCUGAGGCUCGAAAGCGUGGGUAGCAAACAGG
This 429-nucleotide ribosomal RNA is filed under the name Bacteroidota bacterium. Its description in RNAcentral is "Bacteroidetes bacterium partial 16S ribosomal RNA". It matches the Rfam family "Bacterial small subunit ribosomal RNA", at positions 355 to 776 of the family's 1533-position model. The record is from RNAcentral. Lineage: Bacteria; Pseudomonadati; Bacteroidota.